RNAcentral lists this ribosomal RNA (492 nucleotides) under uncultured bacterium. RNAcentral's name for it is "partial 16S ribosomal RNA". It matches the Rfam family "Bacterial small subunit ribosomal RNA", at positions 29 to 507 of the family's 1533-position model. The record is from RNAcentral.
AGUGAACGCUGGCGGUAGGCCUAACACAUGCAAGUCGAACGGCAGCACAGUAAGAGCUUGCUCUUACGGGUGGCGGGUGGCGGACGGGUGAGGAAUACAUCGGAAUCUACUUUUUCGGGGGGGAUAACGUAGGGAAACUUACGCUAAUACCGCAUACGACCUACGGGUGAAAGCAGUGGAUCUUCGGACCUUGCGCGAUUGAAUGAGCCGAUGUCGGAUUAGCUAGUUGGCGGGGUAAAGGCACACCAAGGCGACGAUCCGUAGCUGGUCUGAGAGGAUGAUCAGCCACACUGGAACUGAGACACGGUCCAGACUCCUACGGGAGGCAGCAGUGGGGAAUAUUGGACAAUGGGCGCAAGCCUGAUCCAGCCAUACCGCGUGGGUGAAGAAGGCCUUCGGGUUGUAAAGCCCUUUUGUUGGGAAAGAAAAGCAGCAGGUUAAUACCCCGCUGUUCUGACGGUACCCAAAGAAUAAGCACCGGCUAACUUCGUG